RNAcentral lists this long non-coding RNA (220 nucleotides) under Mustela putorius furo (domestic ferret). RNAcentral's name for it is "lncRNA (ENSMPUG00000029169.1)". The record is from RNAcentral. Lineage: Eukaryota; Metazoa; Chordata; Mammalia; Carnivora; Mustelidae.
GAGGGAAGAAAAGCCAGCAUGAGAAGGCAGGUGAAAUCUAUUUGAUUUCUGGUGAAACUGGAUUUUCUGUGCAAGAUCCCUGUCCUACCCUGACAACGACACAUGAUGAGAUGAGGAGAAGACAAUGAGGAAAAGGUGAUCAUUAUACCUGGAACCUUGAAGAAGGCAAGGGAGAGAGAGACUCAAGCAUGCACUAUCAAGGUGGGCAGUUUCCAAGGGC